This 493-nucleotide ribosomal RNA is filed under the name uncultured bacterium. Its description in RNAcentral is "partial 16S ribosomal RNA". It matches the Rfam family "Bacterial small subunit ribosomal RNA", at positions 29 to 507 of the family's 1533-position model. The record is from RNAcentral.
ACGAACGCUGGCGGCGCGCUUAACACAUGCAAGUCGAACGGAAAGGCCUGCUUUCCCUUGUGGAUUGCGGGUACUCGAGUGGCGAACGGGUGAGUAACACGUGAGUGAUCUGCCCCCAACUUGGGUAUAAGCCUGGGAAACUGGGUCUAAUUCCCGAUAGGACUGCAGGGUGGUGCCUGUGGUGGAAAACGAUUUUCUAGUGGUUGGGGAUGAGCUCGCGGCCUAUCAGCUUGUUGGUGGGGUAAUGGCCUACCAAGGCGGCGACGGGUAGCCGGCCUGAGAGGGUGGACGGCCACAUUGGGACUGAGAUACAGCCCAGACUCCUACGGGAGGCAGCAGUGGGGAAUAUUGCACAAUGGGCGGAAGCCUGAUGCAGCGACGCCGCGUGGGGGAUGACGGCCUUCGGGUUGUAAACUCCUUUCGACCGCGAGGAAGCCACCUGGUUGGAAGGGUGGUGACGGUAGUGGUAGAAGAAGCACCGGCUAACUACGUG